CAGCAGCCGCGGGAAUACGUAGGUGGCAAGCGUUGUCCGGAAUUAUUGGGCGUAAAGGGCUCGCAGGCGGUUUCUUAAGUCUGAUGUGAAAGCCCCCAGCUCAACCGGGGAGGGUCAUUGGAAACUGGGAAACUUGAGUGCAGAAGAGGAGAGUGGAAUUCCACGUGUAGCGGUGAAAUGCGUAGAGAUGUGGAGGAACACCAGUGGCGAAGGCGACUCUCUGGUCUGUAACUGACGCUGAGGAGCGAAAGCGUGGGGAGCGAACAGGAUUAGAUACCCGCGUAGUCCCUGUCUCUUAUAC
RNAcentral lists this ribosomal RNA (301 nucleotides) under uncultured bacterium. RNAcentral's name for it is "partial 16S ribosomal RNA". It matches the Rfam family "Bacterial small subunit ribosomal RNA", at positions 509 to 807 of the family's 1533-position model. The record is from RNAcentral.